RNAcentral lists this long non-coding RNA (401 nucleotides) under Gossypium barbadense (sea-island cotton). Its description in RNAcentral is "long non-coding RNA (GBAR_LNC016313)". The record is from RNAcentral. Lineage: Eukaryota; Viridiplantae; Streptophyta; Magnoliopsida; Malvales; Malvaceae.
CAGCGACCUCUGUUUCCACCACAACCACUUCGGCCGCAGGAGCCUCGGCUGGUGGUGGUGGAGGAGGAGUAUUAUCUUCUUCCUUGACUUCAACAGCGGCGGGUGCAUCCGUUACUAUCUUGGGUUCUUCUGAAAUUGCAGCAGCAGGUGUCUCUUCCUCUUUUUCUUCUUUCUUCUCUUCCUUGUUUUCUUCUUCUUCUUUCUUUGGCUCAGGCUCAGCUACAGGUUUUUCUUCUGCUUCGGGUUUGGCAGUGAACUCGUGGUUGUUAAGGGCUUCUUGAAUAAGCUGCUUAAGCUCAUCAAGGGCCUUCUUUUGAGGCUCAGGAAGUUCACCAGCGAUAUUAGUUUCCUCUUUGAAGGAAACAGACUGGGUUAUCUUAGUUUCUUCCUUUUCUUCAACC